This 152-nucleotide ribosomal RNA is filed under the name Ignavibacteriota bacterium. RNAcentral's name for it is "Ignavibacteriae bacterium (activated sludge metagenome) partial 23S ribosomal RNA". It matches the Rfam family "Bacterial large subunit ribosomal RNA", at positions 2773 to 2925 of the family's 2925-position model. Lineage: Bacteria; Pseudomonadati; Ignavibacteriota. The record is from RNAcentral.
GAAAGCAUCUCAAGCACGAAACCUACUCCAAGAUUAUAUAUCUCAUCCUUCGGGAGUAAGAACCCUAGAAGAUGACUAGGUUGAUAGGCUUUAAGUGUAAGCAUGGCAACAUGUUUAGCUAAGAAGUACUAAUUGUUCGAGGGCUUAUCGUA